Molecule: long non-coding RNA, 629 nt
Organism: Ictalurus punctatus (channel catfish)
Lineage: Eukaryota; Metazoa; Chordata; Actinopteri; Siluriformes; Ictaluridae
Exons: 3
Source: RefSeq, a predicted model, not a curated record
AAAAAAAUACAGUUGCCUACCAGGAAAAGUCAUUGAUCGCUAUCUUCAUCUUCCUCCUGCGCACUAAAACCACUAAAGUCGUCUUCUUCAGUGUCGGAAUUGAACAGCCUCAGAAUUACCGGUACUUCGUCACACACUUCCUCAGUCUCUCUUUCGGUGUCGCUCUCAAUGUCACUUACGUCUCGAGGCAAAUUCGCCCUUGAGCUUGUGCUGUCCUCUUCAUCACGCAGCAGUCCAGCCUUUCGAAACCCGCUGGUGAUGGUAGAUUUUAUGACACUGCUCCACGCUGUUAGGAUCCACUGGCAGACUGGAGCAAAAGUUGCUCUUCGCAUGCUAUUUCCUUCUUCGACAGCCAGAUCGAUCGCCUUUAACUUGAAAGCUGCAUCAUAUGCAUUUCUUCGUGUGUUUUCCGUGAUGAGGGGGUGUGCAUGAAGCGCAAAAUGACUGAUCUGAAGAAUUUAGUGAAGCUUUGCUGCUGAUAGUGCACUAUCAACCCUUUUCUUGUCAGCUGGAAACAUCUUAUAGAUACUAUGGCAUAAUGUUUUUGCAGGUAGACUUGUCUGCAGGCGUUGACCCUUUGGGGGUUGUAGGCAAUGGCCAAGAUGUCAUCGGCCCAGUUCUGAUGGAGG